AUGCAGUGGUUGGGCGACUCGGUGGAUAAGGAAGUGAAGUUGGAUUUGUGUCUUAUCCCGGUGGGGGGAGAGGUGGAGACAUUGACUCCGGCGACGGCGAGUGGGCGGUCCGGCGAUCUUGCAGGGGUUCCGCCGACCAUGGAAUUCUUGCUGCAGCCAAUAAACAGAACUCUGCUUGAGGAGGUCAAUGAAAAUAACGGGACAAUGGAGCCCGUGCGGUUCCCAGUGGCCACGCCGGCGGAGAUACCUGCUCCAGCCCCGGCCGGUUCAAGUGCGGACGGCCAGAUCUAUCGGCCGGAAGCGGCAGGCGGGGACAAGGCUCAGGGUCCGAGCACUCGAUAG
RNAcentral lists this ribosomal RNA (342 nucleotides) under Triticum aestivum (bread wheat). Its description in RNAcentral is "partial small subunit ribosomal RNA". The record is from RNAcentral. Lineage: Eukaryota; Viridiplantae; Streptophyta; Magnoliopsida; Poales; Poaceae.